RNAcentral lists this small nuclear RNA (94 nucleotides) under Myotis brandtii (Brandt's bat). The record is from RNAcentral. Lineage: Eukaryota; Metazoa; Chordata; Mammalia; Chiroptera; Vespertilionidae.
GUGCUCAGUUUGACAGCAUAUAUGCUAAAAUUGGAACAAUACAGAGAAGAUUAGAAUGGAUGACAUGCAAAUUCAUGAAGCAUUUCAUAUUAAA